GCCCCGCCCCCACGUGGCCGGGGGUCGCGCCCCUCGGAGGCCGGCGGUCUGCGCCUCGCUGGGCUGCGCCCACGUGGGUCCCGGGCGGCGGACCCCACACCCGGACAGAGCCCGCGGCCUCCUGCCCCUCCCGGGCCGGGGGAGACCUCCCUCUCGCCGUCCGCGAUGCUACCACGUGUCCAUCUUUGAAAAAAACGAGCGCCUAUCUGAACCCCCCCAGGAGCAGAGGCUGCAUUUGAGUGUGUAACGCGCAGCUCCAAGGCAGAUGCCUGAUGACCAGGCACUACGAUUUGUGACAAUUGGAACAGUCUUCUAAUGGGUCCUCGGUAUUCAGAGAUUCAAGCCCAGUGCACUUCAACCGCCAAACUUUUAAGUAAACUGUCAGGCCAAGGGUCCCUCCAGCUAUGUUUUUGGAAUCGACUUUCAGAACCUGAUUACCCAAUUCACCAUUUACCUGCUGGAAGAUGACCCUCUCAGCCUACACUCCACAGGCUCUGCUUUUGGCAAAGAUGCCAGUUACUAUCAUGUGGAGACCACGAGGAAGUUUCAGAAAAGUGUUUUCAAAUACAACCUAGAGGAAGCGGCUUAUGAGAUUGCUGUAUCAUUGCUGCUGGAGAAAAAAAAUCGUGUUAAAUGUGCUUCUUGGCUCCUCCAAAGACAUCAUGAGUCUUCAGUCUCAUCCACGCAGCAUCCUUCCUUGAGGACCCUGGUCAGCGUCCUCCCUAACUGUGCUGCCAGCCCCCACUCACCCAGACCUCACUCCAGCCCCCGACUGGCCAGCCCACCCCUCAGCUGGUGCUGAGGGCAGAGAACCAGUGUCACCUCUCUGACUGCUGUUCCCCUGGCCUCGAAUUUGGCUCGCAUCUUUUUUUUUUAAUAAAAAAGCAGGUUUUGGGGGAGUUUUUUAGUCUGUCUUGGGCUACAUCAGGUCUUUCUUUAAAAAAACAAAACCUUUAUUUAUGACUGCGCUGGGUCUUCAUUGCUGUGUGCGGUCUUUCUCUACUUGAGGUGAGCAGGGGCUGCUCUUUGCUGCGGUGCACAGGUCUCUCUUUGCGGUGGCUUCUUUUGUUGAGGAGCACAGGCUCUAGGCGCUCAGGCUCAAUAGUUGUGGCCCACAAGCUUAGUUGCCCCACAGCACAUGGAAUCUUCCCGAACCAUGGAUUGAACCUGCAUCUCCUGCAUUGCAGGAGGAUUCUUUACAGCUGCACCGCUGGGGAUGCCCUCCUUGUGUUUCUACGCUCUGUGAAACCAUCUUUCUCCUUCAAGACCCAUCUUACAGGUGGUAUCUCUGGGCUUCCUCCCAGUCCUCGCUCUGCUGUAUACAUGUGCAUUAGAGCCUCGUUUGACUGUACACAGUGCCUAGGGGAGUAUUCACUGUCCCUGGAACACUGUUGCAAUCCACAUCCCUCCAGUGGGUAGGUGGUUGGUGCCUGACUCUGCAAGAACAAAGGGAUGCCUGCACACAUAUCUGUCUUUCCUUCAGCUAAUCCAUCAGCUGGUGUUUCUAAAGCAUCUGCUCAUCAUGUGCAAGGCACUUGGACUUGACAAGAGAUUUUUUAAAUCUUUUUGUUUAAUACAACAGAGUUUUUUUGUUUUUGUUUUGAGUGUUGUUAUUUACUAUGAGAAUACCAAAGAUGUAAGAG
Long non-coding RNA from Bos taurus (domestic cattle), 1643 nucleotides. Lineage: Eukaryota; Metazoa; Chordata; Mammalia; Artiodactyla; Bovidae. The record is from Ensembl.